ACCUGGGGUCUGUUGUUCAACUUGUCGUUAGGGCUAACGCGUCGUUAAAAUUUCUUAAUCAUUCGAUUAAAAUUAAUCAUAUGAUUAGUGUGUUGUUCAACUUGUCGUUAAUUUUAACGCUGCGUUAAAAAGGCUAAAACUGUCGUUAAACUUAAUCCACCUCUUUGAGGUGUAUUAAAUUUUAAUCAUAUGAUUAAAGCAUCCAAGAUGGCUGCUGUAUCAAUGCAAAAAUUAGUUUAUCCUCGAAAUAUGAGGCGUUUAAGAGAUAUUUAGCUCCUGGAAAGAGAUUUCAGCCAUAAAAUACCUUAAUAUUUGAAAGAAACACAAUAUAGUUGCUAGGAGUUGAGUUGAAACAUAAAUUGGAAAGAGAUUUGACAAGAUGGGGCGAAGGAUCGGACGCACUCAUACAACGGGCAUUUGAUAACAGAGAGAAAUUGCACAUUUCGGCAGUUUUUCGUUUGUAUUUUACCGCUCAGUGACAGUGUUGAUUGCAAAAAAAACUAAACGUACGCUGAGACGGGCCACAUGUUAUUGUGCGGAACCAUUCAGCAAAUUAUGACGAACAGCUUUCAUAAAUAAAUAAUGUUACCAUAGCAUUAAUGUACAGGCC
RNAcentral lists this long non-coding RNA (610 nucleotides) under Mytilus galloprovincialis (Mediterranean mussel). Lineage: Eukaryota; Metazoa; Mollusca; Bivalvia; Mytilida; Mytilidae. The record is from RNAcentral.